UCCCAUAGCGCAAGCUAGUAAGAUCCCUGAAAGAUGAUCAGGUUGAUAGGUUAGAGGUGGAAGUGUGGCGACACAUGCAGCUGACUAAUACUAAUCGAUCGAGGACUUAACCAAUUU
RNAcentral lists this ribosomal RNA (117 nucleotides) under Cytobacillus stercorigallinarum. RNAcentral's name for it is "Cytobacillus sp. Sa5YUA1 partial 23S ribosomal RNA". It matches the Rfam family "Bacterial large subunit ribosomal RNA", at positions 2812 to 2925 of the family's 2925-position model. The record is from RNAcentral. Lineage: Bacteria; Bacillati; Bacillota; Bacilli; Caryophanales; Bacillaceae.